AGCUGACCCUGUGAGAGGGCUGAGGGCCAGAAGCUAAGGAGUUUCACUCUAUUCCUGGAGUAGGAAGGGCUAGCUGCCUGAGAGCAAGGUACCUUAAGUGGUGCAGUGCUGGGGAGCACCAGCCUGGUAAACCAUGAGGCUGCAGGCCUUGUGAAAGGCUCAAAAAGGUACUGGGGCUACCGAGGUGUAGCCUGAGGAUAGGCAAAGGCAGCAGGUCCUUACCUCCUUGCCAGUGAUGAUUGGCCUUUAUAGACUGCAGUCUGCCCCCGUGAGCAGGGACUAGAUGAUGACUGGCAGUAGCCACUGAGGCAAGGUGGGUUUAGAGGGUUGGGGGUUCCCUGGGGAGGGGAGACCCAGAGUAAGGGGGUACUGCUGGGGCAGAACCUUGAGGUAAAGGGGCACCAGGGUCCAGGAGGGACACGGGGCCCAGCGGCAGCUGAGACACCGGCCUGCGGAGGGCGCUCUGGGCUGGAAGAGCUAAUUCCUGAGACAACCAGCAGGAGGCGCUGCACCGGAACAUUCCCUAUGCAUCAGCAUCAAGUGUGCAUAAUCUGCUGAGGACCAUUUAGCCAGCCAGAAGGACCACAGUUGAUGGAGUCACAUCAGGCAUCCUAGAGUGAAGUUUCCAGAUCUGGCUUGAUCCUGCAAAUCUGGUUUUACCAUUGGACUUUAAUGGAAGCAGAUUUAGAUCAACACAGCCACUUUUGAAAAGAAAAAAUUAUUACACACUUCAUGCCCAGUCAUAUGCUUUAACCACUAGGCUACACACAGAGCAGAUUAACUCAGGAGCUUUAGGGACUGCAGCCUGGGCCCCAGAUUUUGAGCCCCCCCAAUAUAUUAUUUACUGUAUGAAUUGGAACACAACUAUUUUACUACUAAGCAGUGUUCAGCUGGAGCAACAACUGCCUGAUCAUAUGGUCCAUUUGACCUGCGAUCAAGUCCAGGCCAGGUCACGGCGCGAAUGUGACACAGUUUAGAAGAACCUAUAAAAACAUCUGGACAGAGCACCUAGAAAGCAUGAGAGCGGUGUUAAAAAGCGGAAAGCACAACAACCACAAAGCCUUUGCACAGAAGAUCUGUUAAACAAAGCCCCAAAGUUGACAAGCUAUUUUAAUAAAAUACCAACAAAUGUAUGCGGCGUUACCAGCACUUCGGAAAAUACAGAGAAAAGUCAACAAGAUGAAACAACCAGUACUGAUGGAUUACAAUAUAAUUGGCAAGUCCUAACUUUACAUUCUCCAGGGAGUCAGUUUCAAAAGAGAGUGACAUUGCCACACAUGAAGGUAAUAAUGUAGUGGAUAUGCAAAUUGAUCGAUGUGUAUAAGGUCCAGUGGGUCUUGAACCUGGGCCUGUAGAGCUGCCACCAACUGGCAGCAGCUAUAACCAGUUCAUGCUCCAUUACCCACAACCUGCUGAGGAUGUGGCAAUGAAAGGUCCCACCUCGAGAGGUCUGCUAGGCAGCAGCCUCAUGGCUCUUGAUCGGCUCCCCAUCGUAUAUAAACCCAAGGGAGAUUCCAGGAAGUGUCCAGGCACCAGCUCGGAUCUACUGUAGCUGCCAUGACUGCUCCUGCUCCCUGUUCUUGAACUCCUAGCUUCGACCUGGACUUGACUUGGACCUCGGCUCCUGAUCUGAACCCUGAAAUCUGACUUGGACUUUGAUCCUUGUUAUCAACCCUGGCCUGGAACUUGACUAUGAACUCCUCUGCUACUCUCAGGUUUGACCCUUGGUUCUGACUGGAUCAUGACAGUAUAGUACUGAUGCUGCACUCUGGGGCCCAGCCAUGGAGACCCUGCGAUCUUACUGGAUUUACAAUGGAACUUCUAUCAUGUCAAAAUAAAAAUUGCCACAUUUAAGCAACUAAAAAAAAUUACAAAAACCAGAAGCCAUGUUUAUCAAAAACCCUGUUCACGUGCUGUCUGAAAAAUGGAGACUCUGUGCCUCUUUAUGCACAAUCGACAGGGUUGCUGUUCUGUUUUGUAUGCUUGUUACUUGGAGAUGUCUCUCAUGCAACGGUAUUUAGUGACUCUGGAUUUAAUGACUGACCACAUACUACAGUUCCCAUUGUAGAGCAUGAAAGCAGUGUUUCUCAUCAAAACACAAUGCUUACAUGGACUUCCCAGAUAGAAACCAAAGGCCAGGUAGACUGUGAACAGAAAAAAACAAUAUGAAAAUGAGCUGAUGUAUUGCUUAGACUGGUUGUUGCAGUAGUAAAGUUUCUUGCUGAUCAUGGCCUUCUGUUUUAAAGGAGAAAAUGAAGCUGUCAUCUCUCUUUAUAACAGCAUUUAGUUGGGAAACUUGGAAUUGUUGAGUCAGUUUGAUCCUUUCCUUGAUUACCAUAUUAAAAAAAUAUGGAAAUAU
Molecule: long non-coding RNA, 2359 nt
Organism: Dermochelys coriacea (leatherback sea turtle)
Lineage: Eukaryota; Metazoa; Chordata; Testudines; Dermochelyidae
Exons: 3
Source: RefSeq, a predicted model, not a curated record